Molecule: long non-coding RNA, 1200 nt
Organism: Pongo abelii (Sumatran orangutan)
Lineage: Eukaryota; Metazoa; Chordata; Mammalia; Primates; Hominidae
Source: Ensembl
AUGGCCCUACUAUUGGGUUUUCAGUGGGCUGAGCAAGGCCUGGUUGUGGGGGCCCUGAUGGGGUUCAGGGCCAGGGCCUGUCCUAUGGUCCUGGGGGUGUCCAGGGAAGAUGAAAGAACAGGGGUUCAGCAUCCCUGCUCAAAGCUGCACUGUGGACACCAUGAACCCCAGAUGUCCAGGUCCAUGGGGAGAUUGGGAGAGAAUUUCAACACAGAACUCACCAAAAAUCCCAUGGUCUCUCCUGAGAUAGGAACAGACUUGCCACAUCUUGAGCCACUGGGCCCCCAGAGAGUGACCUGCUGUCCUGGGCUCUACGGAAUUCUCAUGCUGCUGGGCCUUGGCCUCAGGAAUUUUACAGUUUCUGAUUAAAUACCAAUGGGAUAUCACCUCCCAUUUGUUAGGAUGGCCGUUAUAAAAAGGACAAGAGAUAACAAGUGUUGGUGACGGUGUGAAGAGAAGGGUACCUUUGUACACUGCUGGUUAGAAUGUAAGUUAGUACAGCCAUUAUGGAAAACAGUAUGAAAGUUCCUGAGAAUCUAAAAAUAGAACUCCCAUAUGGCUCAGCAAUCCCUCCUAUAAAUUAUAUAUCAACAGGAAAUGAAAUCAGCAUCUGAUAGAGAUAUCUUCACUCUCCUCUUCUCCGUGCCCCACCACAGCAUUGCUCCCAACAGCCAAGCCAUGGGAUGAAGUUACUCUGCAUUGAUGGAUGAGUGGAGAAAAAAAAAUGUGGGGGAGGUGUUUGUGCAUGUGUGUGUGUAUAAUAUAUAAUAAUAGAAUAUUUUUCAGCUUUUAAAAAGUUGAAGAUACUGCCAUUUGUGAUAACAUAAAUGAACCUGGAGGAUAUUAAGCUAAGUGAAAUAGCUUAGGGAGAGAGAAAAAUACUGCAUAAUUUCUGUUACAUAUGAAAUCUUUAAAAAGGUUAAACACAUGAUAGAAUGAUGACUUGGGAGAGAAGAGACACAAGUCAACGUUUCAGUUAUAUAAAAUAAAUGAAUCUGGAGGACUAAAGUACAAUUUAAAGGUUAUAGUUGCUAUUUUUAUAUUAUAUACUAGUGAUUUUUGAACAGGGUAAACUUUAGGUGCUUUGACACCAAAAGGAAACUACAUGAGUUCAUGUAUAUGUUAAAUUGUUUGACCGCAGUCAUCAUUGAUAUGUAUAUGCAUAUAUAUAAUUAUGGGCUCAUUAAAUUUAAAUGCUAU